UUUUUGUUUCUCCAAGUGUAGAUUAGAUUUUGAGCUGAAAUUUUUUGGAGUUGUAGAUACAACCUAUAUUCAUGUUGCUAAUUAUUUUCAGAUUUUUUCGCAUAGCCAAAGUAUGAUUUCUCUAAGUUGAUCCUACGAUCCUACCUAAUGGGGAGAUCCUAUACAAGUCUCUCCCUAAAUAUCAGAUGUUUUCCUUAUAUCAAUUUAUUGACCAGCUGUGAUACUGUAGCAUGCUAGAGUGCUGCAAGAUAGGCCGCUGAUGAGGUUUGAAGAGGUACUCGAGACCUUGUGAAGGGAUAUUUACAUCAAGGAGGUGAAGUAAGUAAACAAGAUGUAUAUCCUGUCAUGCUUUCCUCGAUCAGACUCAUGGGGUAAAGAUGCUCUCACAGAGGGAAGAAAUGUGGUGGAAGUCAUCACUUCGAGCCUGGUUAUCCAUAUCAUGGCGACAUCUUCCUGUAUGCAAGGAGAACCUAUCUGCGCAUUUUCCAUUUCCUACAAGUUCGUUGGUUGAAGCUCUAUUUUGCAGUUUUAGGAGCACCUCAAUUUAAGUAUGUGCUGGAUAGGGGCAUAGAUAUUUCAGCAGUACAACGCUCCAUCAGAGAAUAUUGAAUGGGCAUUAUGAAGAUCAAGUCAGUCAAGGCCUCCAUCGGAGAAAAUUGAAUGGACACUAUAAAGAUCAAGUCAGUCGAGGCUUUCUUCACUGCCUUCAUAUUUGACUUUCGGGUAACUGAUUGCUCUCCCUGAUUGUAUAGUGCAAUUUAUAUUAUCGAUUCUUUUGUGUAAAACUUUUUUAGAUUGAUUGCAAAUUGAUAUAAGACAUUCAUGGUCACUGUGUUUUUUGUUCUUCUAAUACUAUGUGUCUAAUUUUGUGUUUGCAUGUACGAUAUAU
Non-coding RNA from Lolium perenne, 889 nucleotides. The record is from RefSeq and is a predicted model, not a curated record. Lineage: Eukaryota; Viridiplantae; Streptophyta; Magnoliopsida; Poales; Poaceae.